AGGGUUUGAUUCUGGCUCAGGAUGAACGCUGGCGGCGUGCUUAACACAUGCAAGUCGAACGAAGCACUGGGAAACAGAGAUUUCGGUCAAAGUUUCCCUUUGACUGAGUGGCGGACGGGUGAGUAACGCGUGGGUAACCUGCCCUGUACAGGGGGAUAACAGUUAGAAAUGACUGCUAAUACCGCAUAAGCGCACAGCUUCGCAUGGAGCGGUGUGAAAAGCCGAGACGGUACAGGAUGGGCCCGCGUUGGAUUAGCUGGUUGGCGGGGUAACGGCCCACCAAGGCGACGAUCCAUAGCCGGCCUGAGAGGGUGGACGGCCACAUUGGGACUGAGACACGGCCCAA
RNAcentral lists this ribosomal RNA (346 nucleotides) under uncultured bacterium. Its description in RNAcentral is "bacterial SSU rRNA". It matches the Rfam family "Bacterial small subunit ribosomal RNA", at positions 8 to 334 of the family's 1533-position model. The record is from RNAcentral.